RNAcentral lists this ribosomal RNA (253 nucleotides) under uncultured bacterium. RNAcentral describes it as "partial 16S ribosomal RNA". It matches the Rfam family "Bacterial small subunit ribosomal RNA", at positions 524 to 776 of the family's 1533-position model. The record is from RNAcentral.
GACGUAGGGCGCGAGCGGUGUCCGGAUUUAUUGGGCGUAAAGAGCUCGUAGGCGGCUUGUCGCGUCGACUGUGAAAACCCGCAGCUCAACUGCGGGCCUGCAGUCGAUACGGGCAGGCUAGAGUUCGGUAGGGGAGACUGGAAUUCCUGGUGUAGCGGUGAAAUGCGCAGAUAUCAGGAGGAACACCGGUGGCGAAGGCGGGUCUCUGGGCCGAUACUGACGCUGAGGAGCGAAGGCGUGGGGAGCGAACAGG